RNAcentral lists this ribosomal RNA (253 nucleotides) under uncultured bacterium. RNAcentral's name for it is "partial 16S ribosomal RNA". It matches the Rfam family "Bacterial small subunit ribosomal RNA", at positions 524 to 776 of the family's 1533-position model. The record is from RNAcentral.
UACGAGGGGGGCGAGCGUUGUUCGGAAUUAUUGGGCGUAAAGGGUGCGUAGGCGGUUCGGUAAGUUUCGUGUGAAAUCUUCGGGCUCAACUCGAAGUCUGCACGAAAUACUGCCGGGCUUGAGUGUGGGAGAGGUGAGUGGAAUUUCCGGUGUAGCGGUGAAAUGCGCAGAUAUCAGGAGGAACACCGGUGGCGAAGGCGGGUCUCUGGGCCGAUACUGACGCUGAGGAGCGAAAGCGUGGGGAGCGAACAGG